GGUCAAUAUGCUAGUCACUACUGAGGGUACCUUGAAAAGUUCAAGCGACUCUAUUUUUGCUGUUGAGCGGACAUCUUUCAAAAGAAAGUCUCAAGGAAAGAAAAAGAAUAAGCCUGUGAAGAAGCAGAAAAAGAAAAGUAAAUCCAAAGAAGGGUCCAUAGAUCUGUACGAAGAUGUGAACCCAUGGAUAGGUGUGUCGCUGUGAAUCCUGAUAGCCAACAAUCC
This 225-nucleotide long non-coding RNA is filed under the name Elaeis guineensis (African oil palm). Its description in RNAcentral is "long non-coding RNA (EGUI_LNC045838)". Lineage: Eukaryota; Viridiplantae; Streptophyta; Magnoliopsida; Arecales; Arecaceae. The record is from RNAcentral.